Molecule: ribosomal RNA, 250 nt
Filed under: uncultured prokaryote
Description: partial 16S ribosomal RNA
Rfam family: Bacterial small subunit ribosomal RNA
Source: RNAcentral
UACGUAUGGAGCAAGCGUUAUCCGGAUUUACUGGGUGUAAAGGGAGCGUAGGCGGCUUGUUAAGUCUGAUGUGAAAACCCAUGGCUCAACCGUGGGAUUGCAUUGGAAACUGAUGAGCUUGAGUGUCGGAGAGGUAAGCGGAAUUCCUAGUGUAGCGGUGAAAUGCAUAGAUAUUAGGAGGAACACCAGUGGCGAAGGCGGCUUACUGGACGACUACUGACGCUGAGACUCGAAAGCGUGGGGAGCAAAC